RNAcentral lists this ribosomal RNA (705 nucleotides) under Phaeobacter sp. Its description in RNAcentral is "bacterial SSU rRNA". It matches the Rfam family "Bacterial small subunit ribosomal RNA", at positions 41 to 793 of the family's 1533-position model. Lineage: Bacteria; Pseudomonadati; Pseudomonadota; Alphaproteobacteria; Rhodobacterales; Roseobacteraceae. The record is from RNAcentral.
UCCAGGCGCUUACCAUGCAGUCGAGCGCACUCUUCGGAGUGAGCGGCGGACGGGUUAGUAACGCGUGGGAACGUGCCCUUCUCUAAGGAAUAGCCACUGGAAACGGUGAGUAAUACCUUAUACGCCCUUCGGGGGAAAGAUUUAUCGGAGAAGGAUCGGCCCGCGUUAGAUUAGAUAGUUGGUGGGGUAAUGGCCUACCAAGUCUACGAUCUAUAGCUGGUUUUAGAGGAUGAUCAGCAACACUGGGACUGAGACACGGCCCAGACUCCUACGGGAGGCAGCAGUGGGGAAUCUUGGACAAUGGGCGCAAGCCUGAUCCAGCCAUGCCGCGUGAGUGAUGAAGGCCUUAGGGUCGUAAAGCUCUUUCGCCAGAGAUGAUAAUGACAGUAUCUGGUAAAGAAACCCCGGCUAACUCCGUGCCAGCAGCCGCGGUAAUACGGAGGGGGUUAGCGUUGUUCGGAAUUACUGGGCGUAAAGCGCACGUAGGCGGAUCAGAAAGUAUAGGGUGAAAUCCCAGGGCUCAACCCUGGAACUGCCUUGUAAACUCCUGGUCUUGAGUUCGAGAGAGGUGAGUGGAAUUCCGAGUGUAGAGGUGAAAUUCGUAGAUAUUCGGAGGAACACCAGUGGCGAAGGCGGCUCACUGGCUCGAUACUGACGCUGAGGUGCGAAAGUGUGGGGAGCAAACAGGAUUAGAUACCCUGGUAG